This 570-nucleotide small RNA is filed under the name Pongo abelii (Sumatran orangutan). Its description in RNAcentral is "processed transcript". The record is from RNAcentral. Lineage: Eukaryota; Metazoa; Chordata; Mammalia; Primates; Hominidae.
CUGGAAUCCCGGAGCCUCAGCGCUCGGCCCUGCUCGCCAGGUGCUGCCCCCUCAGAGAGCCACAGUCUCGGAGCUGACGGACCUGGGGAGCGUGAGGCGGAGCCGAGCCUGGAGUCCCCAGCAACUAGUUCUAGGUUCGAGGCUUGGACAGGCCGGCACCCCAGCCCGGCACCCAUGGUGUAGUUGUCCGCGACGUCAACCCGUGGUGCCUAAGUGUCUAGAGAGCUGAGUGGGUUGCCUCGGAUCGGCCAGGCCUGGAUAUCAGCGAACAGAUGCGGAUUUCCACCAGGGGGCGCUAGGACGCCACGACCUUUCACUAUGUCCACCAGGGGGAGCUGCCGCCCGCCUUGGCCAUCCCCGGCUGGGAAGUCCGACUCUUGGAUUAAGCCCCGCCUGAUUGGGAAAGGCUCUGAGAAACUAUUUGCAUGAUCUUGAAAGGACCGUGCUGAAUGGUUGAGGUAGGUAAGCCGAAUGUGAAACAGGCUCUCUCAUUGGCCUAAAUUUCCCCCCUCGCUCUGCGUCGCCAUCCCCGCCCUGCUGGACCCCGGGGUCAGUAGGAAGCCGCGGGGU